AGAGCCAGAAGGACAUUCAAGGGGUAAGGGAGGAGGAGAGACAGUCAAGGGAAAGGGGUGCAGCCUUGGCAGGGGCCAUGAAGACUCAGGAGGAGGAAGGGGGCCAAGGAAACAUCCACCAUAACCAAUAGGCUACGUGAUUUGAGGAGGAGCUCAUGUCUGACCAAUGAACUAAGGAGAGUAGGGUCCAGUACCAGGGACAAAGGACAAAUCAGAAAGAAGAGGAGUGAAAAAUCUGAAAAAUCCGAAGAAAAUCGAAAAGGAAGAAGAGAGCCUAGACCAUGCCCCUAGGUCAUUCCAGCAGGUCCCGUCGCCAUAGCCGUCUCAAUACCACGCAUCAGCCCACUGUGCUCAGUGGCUGGGGUGCUCCUCCAGGCAGAGACUGGAGCCAUAGGGCUAUGUGUGGCUGCCCAUACCACUGUGAGCCACCAGAGGAGAGAACAAGCUCUCGACCAGUCCACGGACUCGUCAGCAGGCAGCCAUCUCGGGAGUCAUCUGGCCUACCCUGCCGGCUCCCCUGCAGGGGUUGGACUCCGGAGCUUCAGCCUACGCUACCAAACCGUCAUCACUUUCAUUUCCCCAGUGCGACUGGGCGAUCUCAUGGAUCCCACUCCAGAGCAGGUGGCCUAUACCCUCCACUUUAUCAGCAGCCUGGGUCUUCUCGUCUCUUCCGCAUUCCUCCUCGCUAUACCCAUUAUCGGGGACCUCAAAACUAUCCAGAUCAUCAAUACUUUUAUCCAUCUUCAUCUGAGCUUCUGCCUUUUUCUCUCCCAUCCUCUCUUCCUCGCCGGAAUACACUGGACCCUUAGUGAGGCCAUGUGCAUCAUGAUCUCCUGUAUCUUCCACAACUUGGUCCUGGCUAGUUUUGUCUGGAUAUUCCUGGGCAGGCUCUGUUUCUACCUGAUCUCCUGGAGCCUCAAGGUGAUCAACUAUCUCAGCACCAUCCAGCUAUUCAGGAAAGUGCUGAAUUUCUUUGGUUAUGGGAUGCCUGCUCUGUACAUAGGUUUAUUUAUUGCCAUCCAGGCCCAUGACAUCAAUAAUUAUAACAACUGUUGGAUCAACCCCAUCAAGGACUCAGAAUGGAUCUUUGUGAGUCCCAUCUGCGUUUUAAUAAUGUGACAACAACAAAAAGAAACACUCAUUGAAGAAGUCAAGCCUAUAACUCAAUAGACAAUAGAAGCAAAGAAAAAGAAACUUGCCUCCAAAUACAUGGGGUGGCCCAUGCCCUUUGCCCCAACCCAUAGCAGAAGAAUUCCAAUUCCUGAUAGGUCUCCAUGAUAUGGAAGACGUUGUGACCUAGAUCAUAGAUCUAAGGAUGGAAGAGACCUUAACAGCCUUUUGGUCCAACUCCCUGAGAGGCCUAGAGAAAUAAAGUGACUGGCCCCAUGUAAGUCAUAAGCUUCACAACUUUCCCGACUCGAGGAUCAGCAUUCUUUCCACGUUCUCUUCAGCCUCAAAAGCUGAUUUCCUUUUGAGUCUAUGGAUUUCAGCAGAAGUUUUGCAAAGGGCCCUUGUGAGUUCUUAUCCUGACAACUCCAAGGAUAAUCAGGGAUGGAUACGAAGCAAAGUUUCACUGGAUAACUGGCAGGAGUCUUCCCUCUUCCCCAGACACAGAGUGGUCAACACAGUUUUCAAGGAUCUGGAGUUUAGAUGCCCAAACACUCCCUUCUGAUGAGCAUCCUGCAGAAUCGGUGACAUCUGAAGGGCAAAGGCCAACAUCUGUUUCCUCCUUCGGUGGAAUAGAGACUUAGAUGGAUUCUCAUUUGCCCCAGGCCUGGUAUCCUGCUCAAAAGUUCCUCCACAGACAGCUGAGUAAGACCCAGAAGUCUUCCUGCCAAGGCAAGGGAGGCUUCCACCUACCCCUCAAUGGUUCCAUCCCAUCAAGAUCUCACCCCCACUACCAGCAACAGAUCGUCCCUCAUUAAAUUCCUCUUGACUCAU
RNA transcript from Trichosurus vulpecula (common brushtail), 1941 nucleotides. It is a transcript of the gene named putative adhesion G protein-coupled receptor E4P, with no coding region annotated. Lineage: Eukaryota; Metazoa; Chordata; Mammalia; Diprotodontia; Phalangeridae. The transcript is spliced from 8 exons. The record is from RefSeq and is a predicted model, not a curated record.